Molecule: ribosomal RNA, 254 nt
Filed under: uncultured bacterium
Lineage: Bacteria
Description: partial 16S ribosomal RNA
Rfam family: Bacterial small subunit ribosomal RNA
Source: RNAcentral
UACGGGGGGGUGCAAGCGUUAUUCGGAAUUACUGGGCGUAAAGAGCGCGUAGGCGGUCUCUUAAGUCAGGUGUGAAAGCCCGGGGCUCAACCCCGGAAGUGCACUUGAAACUAAGGGACUUGAGUAUGGGAGAGGGAAGUGGAAUUCCUGGUGUAGCGGUGAAAUGCGUAGAUAUCAGGAGGAACACCGGUGGCGAAGGCGACUUCCUGGACCGAUACUGACGCUGAGACGCGAAAGCGUGGGGAGCAAACAGG